Molecule: ribosomal RNA, 306 nt
Filed under: uncultured bacterium
Lineage: Bacteria
Description: partial 16S ribosomal RNA
Rfam family: Bacterial small subunit ribosomal RNA
Source: RNAcentral
GACAGCAGUAGCCGCGGUAACACGUAGGUGGCAAGCGUUGUCCGGAAUUAUUGGGCGUAAAGGGCUCGCAGGCGGUUUCUUAAGUCUGAUGUGAAAGCCCCCGGCUCAACCGGGGAGGGUCAUUGGAAACUGGGAAACUUGAGUGCAGAAGAGGAGAGUGGAAUUCCACGUGUAGCGGUGAAAUGCGUAGAGAUGUGGAGGAACACCAGUGGCGAAGGCGACUCUCUGGUCUGUAACUGACGCUGAGGAGCGAAAGCGUGGGGAGCGAACAGGAUUAGAUACCCGCGUAGUCCCUGUCUCUUAUAC